AUACGGAGGGGGUUAGCGUUGUUCGGAAUUACUGGGCGUAAAGCGUACGUAGGCGGAUUAGUAAGUUAGGGGUGAAAUCCCAGGGCUCAACCCUGGAACUGCCUUUAAAACUAGUAGUCUAGAGUUCGAGAGAGGUGAGUGGAAUUCCAAGUGUAGAGGUGAAAUUCGUAGAUAUUUGGAGGAACACCAGUGGCGAAGGCGGCUCACUGGCUCGAUACUGACGCUGAGGUGCGAAAGCGUGGGGAGCAAACAGGAUUAGAUACCCCGGUAGUCC
RNAcentral lists this ribosomal RNA (274 nucleotides) under uncultured bacterium. RNAcentral describes it as "partial 16S ribosomal RNA". It matches the Rfam family "Bacterial small subunit ribosomal RNA", at positions 523 to 796 of the family's 1533-position model. The record is from RNAcentral.